AGGAGUAUAAGGGGGCUGUUACAAUGUCAAAACAGGUUACUCAAGUUUCAAAGGUAAUUACUCCUGUUGAUGUGGUACAGAAAAUCAAUCCUUUAAUUAAAGGCAUAACAAAGGUAUCAGAGAAAUGGUAUAAGCGUUGGCCUGAUAUUGACCAACCUUGGCCAGUAGAGGGGACAAUUAAUUUAGAUGUAAUUAAAACAAUGCAGGUGCUUGUGUCUACAUACAAGGCAGAUCAAAAGAAGGGUAAAAAAGGGGAGAAGCGUAAAGAAAAGAGACAGGAAGAGCUUGGUAUGCUACAGCUGUUUGAGCAUGAGGGACAGAAGCGGAUGAAAGCUGCGCAGGAGAAGAGAAAGGGAGGUGAAGAAGAAAUAGGGCAAAAUACAAGAGAGACAGAUAAAUUAAUGGCAGAAGUUAAUACACCUUUUUCACAUGUGGACUCUGUAAAGAAGCCUCCACCUUAUGAGAAGGAAGUGAAGUUUGAGGAUAUCUAUCCCCAGCUUCCAGUGAUCAGUCAAGAGGGAAACUAUCAUAUUAGAGAUGUGGAUGAUCGAACAAUAGAAACAGGACGAGCUCCAAAAGCAAGAAAAAACAGAUGUUUUGAGACAAAGGGUAACUUGAGAAUCAUGAGGAUGGAAUCUGGAGAUGAGGGUGAUCAGAGUGACUGUGAGAUCAAAGGUGGAUAUGACCCAGCAGUGAGGCGGAUACUGGCUAGAGCGGAAAAAAGAGGAGACAAGACUUGGAGGAAAGAGGAUUCAGGAGAUGACAGCUCUGAUGAAAGUGAGAAUGGAGACAGUGAUGAGGAUCCAGAAAGUGAGGGAUUUUCGUCAAGAGCAUUUUUUCCAGCAAUAUCCAGUACCAGAAUGGAGGAGGACAGACAGAGAGCCGUAAAAGAGGUUGAAAGAAGUAUAGAGCAAUGCCUGUCUUAUUUGGACAAAUCUACUGGAUUUGAAAGCCGAAGAGCACUGGAGAAUCAAUUAGAAGGACUGCAGAUGCAGAAGAAAAUGUUGCAAAAAGAAGGCUCUAAAAAAUUUGAUAUGAAAUAUGUGCUGCGCUCCAGAAAAGGGAAGAAACCUGAGAAGAUGUGUCCAGUGGUCAUUCGGGGACAGAGUUUGGAGUAUAAGCCUUGGCAAAAUACAGAUAUGUCAGAUAUUCUUGAGAAGCUGGCAACUCUUCAGAAUGGAGCAUAUCCUUGGAUUUCGAAGCUGGAGGAGAUUAUGGUGGGGACACAGCCUGCCAUAGGAGAUAUUAAGAGACUUUUAGCUAAUCUCCUAGGUGUUCCAGCUAUGGAAGAAAUUUUACAGAAAGCUGGACUUGAUCGAUAUGUGGGGACUGCUGUGAAUGAUCCAGAAUUGUUCUCUGCGAUUAGAGAUCGGAUGUGGAGAGCGCUGAGGGAAACGUUUCCAACCAACGUGCAUCCCGAUAUUAUCUUUAUUGAGCCAUUGGGACAGGAAGAAAACCAGAGAGCGUAUGUGACAAGAGCUCAUCAUGUGUGGAGAAAUGUUACAGGAAAUGAUCCAGAUUUGAAGCAAAUGGAACAGUCAAUUCUGAGAGCUAAGAUACAGAAGGGUUUGCCCCUGUCAGUGAGAAGUAAAUUGGCAGAAGUUGUUGGACUUGGAAGCAUGGCCAAGGGUAUAUAUAUGGAUCAUAUUGCACAUCAAGUGGAACUGUAUAGGAAAAAGAAACAGGAGAAAAAAGAACAGGACCAAGAGACUUUGAGGAAACUCACUCAAGUUCAAUUAACAGAAAGUAAGAAGAAGGAGAAGAAUCAAGCGGUAGUGAUGCAGAGUCAAUUCUCAAGAAACCAAUUAGCAUCACAGCCACAGCAAAAUCAGGGCCAGCCACAAGUGUUUCAACCAUCGUCAGUAGUUCCAGUUGUUCCCAAUUCACAGCCAGUCUUUGGUCAGGAACAGACCUGGAGAGGAAGAGGUCGAGGAAUCUUAGGAAGAGGAAGAGCCGAGGGUUUAAGAAGACAGAUGGAUCUCACAUACAGCAUCAUGCUCAAAUAGUGAAGUUGUUGCAGGCUAUGAUGAGGCCUAAAGAAAUAGCAAUAGCAAAAUGUGCAGCACAUCAAGCAGAUAUGUCAAAGGUUACACGAGGGAAUAAAGCAGCUGAUGAAGCAGCAAAAGCAGUUACAGGAGCGGAUAAAUUGGGUAAGGUUUUCUUGGUUACUCAUGAAGUGGAUUUGGAAGAUAAGAUUACACUUAAGGAUGUGCAGCUAAUGCAGGAAGCGGCUUCCGCAGUAGAUAAACAGUUGUGGGUAGAGAGAGGUGCCACACAAGAUUCUACUGGUCUUUGGAGAAAUCAUGAGGGGUUGAUAGUAGCACCCUCAGAUUUGUUAGGUUUGAUGAUUCAUGAAGCACAUGGUUUAGCUCAUGUGGCUAGAGGUGAAGUGAGGAGAAAAAUCACAAAGGAGUAUGGAUUUUGGGCUCCAUGCUUAUUAGAGCAGAUUGACUAUGUUAUAGGCAGGUGUAUUAUCUGUCUAAAGAAUAAUGUUCGGAGAGGAAUAGUGGUUCCUCCUGGUCAUAUUCCAACUCCGAGGGGUCCUAUGCGUGAGUUAGUUGUGGACUUUGUUGAUAUGAUAAAACCAAUUGAAGGUAAGAGAUAUUUAUUGGUAGUAGUUGAUCGUUUUUCGCGUUGGCCUGAGGCAUGUCCAACCGAGCGAAAAGACGCUCAGUCGGUGGCUAAGUUUCUGUGUAGGGAAGUCAUAAGUAGAUGUGGACUUCCAGAUCGAAUAUCUUCGGAUAAUGGACGACAAGUUUGUGGAUAAGACAAUGAAACUGAUUUUGCAAAAAUUAGGAAUCAAGCAACGGUUUGGUGCAGUCUAUCAUCCGCAAAGUCAGGGAAUUUGUGAAAGAAUGAAUGGAGUUCUGAAAAACCGUAUUAUUAAGAUCUGUCAGCAUACGGGAUUGAAUUGGGUAGCGGCGCUUCCGUUGGCGCUAAUUGUAUGCCGAUCAAGUGAGUUGCGUGAUUUGCAUAUGACACCACAUGAGUUGCUUACGGGAAGGCGGAUGCCAAUGUCUUGUUUACGUACAAGUGGGAAAGGUCCAAGCUUAUCUCUUUUAGAAGAUGAGAUGCGAGCAUAUGUUACAUAUAUGGAGACCUUGCAUAAAAAAAUAUCUGCGUAUGUUUCUGAUAGGCAAAAGAAAGAGGAGGUGCAGGAGAGAAUUGAUGAGCAAAAGAGGGACACAAUACAACCGGGGGACAAGGUGUUCGUGAAGGUGUUUAGAAGGAAGUGGUAUAAUGAACGACGUGAAGGACCGUUUGAAGUUGUUCGCAGUACAGGAACCGCAGUCCAUGUUAAAGGGUCUCCAACGUGGUAUCAUUUCUCACAUUGUGUUAAAGCACCAAGCGAUGAGUUGCCAUGUUCGCAGAGUCAUGAUGAGGGUUCAAAACAGUCAGAAGAGAAUGCAGAACGAAGAGAAGAAGUCGAAAUGCAUAAAGAUUUCCAGAGUCAAAUUUCAGAAGGUGAGAUUGUCCAUGGGGUGGAAGAUGUUGAUGAUGUUGUGUACAUUUCUGAUGAUGGCAGAAGUGACUCUGCAGUUAAUGGACAGGAAAGAAGGUUUGGUGACAUUGACUUCCAAUAUGCCCCAGAAACAGCAGAACCUAUUUCAAUGGAGUGGGAAGCGUCAAAGGCCACAAAUGGCAGUAACUCAGCUGCAGGAGCAUUUGGGGGUUCAGUUAGAAGGAGGAGUCCAAGGCCAGUUCAGAAAAGAGUUAGACCCAAACGGUACGAGAUUUGACUGAGAAAGGAUUUUAGAUAAUUUAACUCUGCUAGAUGAAUCAUAUUCAACUACAGCAGCUUCUCAGAUAAUUUUGACAACACCAGAUCCUUUAAAGACGGUAGUUAGAGCUAAAAUAGGAAGAGGGGUUUAUCUUCCCUGUCGAUGUGAGAGAUUUAAUGUUGGAGGUAGUAAUCCUCCUCGGUGGAGAAAUAGUCGUGGUGAAGAUGUGCUGUUAGAGGGACCUGAAGUUGAUGCAGUUCCUCAUAAUAAGAGGAAGUAUCUUUUAUAUAAUGCUAUGAGGUGGUUCAAAGUUAAGAAUGAUUGUUCACUUUUUGUGCGUAAUGUCACAUGGGAAGAUCAGGGAGAAUAUACAUGUACUUAUUUCAAGCCACAUUUUAAGUUUGUGCCAUUUAGUAAUGGGAAGGCUACAUAACUCGUGAGGUUGUAGUUGUGUUAAAAGAUGUGAGUCCUACUGGAGCACUUACAGCUGUGAAGAGUGUUCAGGGGGAAUUACUUACAGCAACCACUCCAAGGGUGGAUAAUACACAGAUGAGGGUUACUACUUUAGCUCCGGAAAUAACUAAGAGUGUUAAUACAUCAACACAGACUACUACUUUAGAUAUGUCUCUGAAGGGGUUGAAUGUUACUACAGCAAUGGUGACAGCCUCUACUAUUGUCACUUCAGGAAACAUUACAAGUGAAGUUAGGACAAGGCUAAUUUUGGCUAAGGAAACAGAGACAACAUCUUUGUUGCCUAUGAACUCUGUAAAUGUGACACAGACAUUUGAUAUGACAUCAUUAAAAUUUAAAGAGGGGGUAAAUGUAACUCAGAAGUCUAUGCUAAAGAUAGAGUCUAGUGUGAAGACUAGCAAUGAGACUUUUGAAAUUAGAGAACCAAUGGUGGAUGAUGAGUUUUUUUAUUCUGAUUGGAUAUCAGAAGAUAUGAUUGACCGUUAUCGUGCAUUACAGAAGAGAGAAGUUAAGUGGAAAGCAUUUGGAUUUGAUUCCUCAGCAAUGAAAAUAGCAGACCCAUUUGCGGGGAGAAAUUUAUAGUUUCAGCAGUUGACUCAUUCUGUGAGAUCAGUGAGUAAAGUGGAUGGUCCAUGUGUAGUGAAGAUUCCAGCACCAGGUUCAUGGUCUUUAAUUUUAGAAGCAGUGCCGGAACCAUUAGCUAUCAAAUGUCAAUAUUAUGUAGUAUCAUGGUUGUUAUAUCAUCAACACUCGCCACAUAAUAUAUGGAUGGCUAUAUCAUCGAAUUUGUUUAGACCUCAGUUAGAAUGUGCUUGGUUAAGUAACUUGCCAUACAUAAAUUUACGUGAUCAGCAUGAGGAUGUGACGACGGCGAUUCCUGAGGCAAUAGAGGUGAAACCAGUGCAGGCUGACAAGUGUUUUUGCUCAAAUAAUACUCAUGGAGGUCCAGGGGUGUUUAUGGGAAUAUCAGAGUGUAAGACAUAUAUGAUGACUUUGGGUGAUCGUACAAAGUAUCCUUGGGAAAACUUAUAUGAAGUGGUUUUUCAUUUACCAAAGCGAAAGUCGAGUGUAACUUUAAUGGUAAGGAAUCAUAUUUCACCAGGAAAUGUAACUAUUGGGAAUUUUAAGGAUAUUUGGUGGGUUUGUGGUGAUAAAGCUUAUAUAUUUUUGCCAUAUGGAUGGACAGGUUGUUGUUAUAUGGCAACGUUAAAGCUACCGUAUGAAGUUUUUACUGUAGGGAUAGGACAAGCUCCUCGUGAGAACUCAUCAAGUGGUCGUUUGGGAAAUAGGAGGAAAAGAGAGAUGGCAAAAUUUCAUAACUUGGAGGCCUAUCAUUGGAGAAUAAGUCUUGGAGAGAAGUGGGGAAUUGGAAUAUUUCCAUGGUAUGGUGUGACGUUUUUGGCUGAUCAUAUUGAUAAUAUUACUUAUACAUUACAAGGUUUUGCAAAUGAAACAAUAAAAGGUUUUGAAUAUUUGUCCAAUGCUCAAAAGAGUCAUAGGUUGACAUUGUUAAAACAUGAUAUGGUGCUUGAUUACAUUUUAGCUAAACAAGGAGGUCUUUGUGUGGCUUUGAAUUUGACAGGAGACGACUGUUUUACUUUAAUUCCUGAUAGCACUGAUAACAUAACUAAUGUUAUAGAUGCAUUGAAACAUAUAAGAGAUGCAUUUGGUCCUUCUGAGGGAGCUGGAUGGUCAGCUAAUGCUUGGUUACUAGAGAAGUUGGGUCCGUUGGGGUCAGCUAUAGUUCAGGUUUUGAUAGCAGUGGUUAUAUCAUUGUGUGCAAUGUUUUGUUUUUGUACGCUGAUAUUGACCUGUGCGAAAGCUAUGAUAUUGAGAUGGGUAGGAGUUGUGAUGCCAGGGGAAAAUGGUCAGUUGUCAGUCUUACAGAUGACUGAUAUAGAAGAGGAAGAAGUGAUAACACCUAAAUUGAUGGAUAAAUAUCCAAUUUGAGUAUUGAGCUUACUAUAAUCUUGACAUUUAUUCUUGUCUUUUGUCAUUAUGUAAUGGGAUAAUUAAUUUCCAUUUAUUUGAUUUAUAUUAACUAAUGUAUUAAUCAAUAUAUUACUGUAUGUCUGUGGUUUUGCAAAAAAGAUACUGGCUGGUGCUUUCUUUCUUUCCUCUAGUAUGAGAAAAAGGGGAGAAAGGCUACUGGGAAUGCUGAAGGAAAUUGUCCCGACAGAGAAAAUAAAAUGGACUGGAGGAUGUUCCUAUUCACGACAUCAUUGACACCACGAUGCUGUCCAGAGUCAAGGAGGAGCUUCAGUGUGACAUAUUCUCAUGUUUAUGUAUACCUUUACAAGUAUUUGUUUGUGUUCCAUUAUAUUAUAAUUGGUGAUAUUCUGUUUAUUGUACCUGUUUGAAGAAUGAUGUUUCUGUUAUGGGGUAAGUACAUUGGGACCUCAGAUGUUUUUUUCUUUUCUCGAUGGCUAGGGAUAUGGUUGCUAGGCAGGGAUAGGUCUGCUGGAAAGUCCGAUGGGUUGACCAGCUGGAAGGUGGACAUUUUUUUAUUUUAUUUUCUGAGGUUCCAAAUGUAUUUGCCAAAGUGAUUUGUUAUCAUCCUUUUAAGACUGACUUGGAGUACAAUAGGUGGUUGCUCAGGGCAGGAGGACCACGAGAGACUUUUUCCUGUCUAGAUUGUUUGAUGGACAUUUAAGAAAGAAAGCUGCCUGACAGGUUUUUCGUUCUCGCACUCCAUGUACUUAAAGUAUGCAAGUAAGAACCCUUCCUUGUUUUUUUUGAGACGUAAAUGUCACAAAAAAGGGGGGAACUGUGGUGAAUUUGAUCUUAUUAAUUCUAUAGUCGUAACAUUAAUUUUUAUCAUAUUGGUUAUUAUACUGUGUAAGAUCCUGGUUGAGUUAUCGUGUGGGCCUCUGACUGAAAUAGUAGUAGGACAAUAGGGUCUCAGUCGAGCUGAUGAAGGAGGCAUCUGGACAGGAAAGGGGCCCCCUGAAUGAUUAAUAAGGUCACAUAUGGGGUUAGACGACCAGGGUCAUUUUGGAGAAGACAUUAGGUUAAAUACCUAAUUUGGUUUGAGAGCAGCCAUACAUCGAACUGAGGCUAUCUUGACAGAAACCAGAUGUGGGCUAUACGUCCACAGCGGGUAUAAAACCAGGAGCUGAAAUGUAUGUGGCAGAGACUAUUGGCUGUUCUCUCCAAGCUGUUUCACGAAGGCUUGUUUUGUGACUUCGACCUCUCAAUGCUAAUAAACAUCUUUAUAUGCAAGAGACGGGUGUCACCGAAGAGUUUGUUCCUACACCUUUACAGCAUCGCAACUAAAGAAACCACAAUUAUAUUCAUUUUUCUUUCUAUUACACCUGAAAAGUUUGACCUUAGUAACUCGGACAUUGAUGUGCCCUCCCAAGUAUACAAGAGCAUCGACAGUUUAAUAUAGAGAAACUGUGGCUACAAACUACAAACUAA
Molecule: RNA transcript, 7613 nt
Organism: Pygocentrus nattereri (red-bellied piranha)
Lineage: Eukaryota; Metazoa; Chordata; Actinopteri; Characiformes; Serrasalmidae
Gene name: E-selectin-like
Exons: 2
Source: RefSeq, a predicted model, not a curated record